UCAACCCUUUUCCAUAAGCUUUUUUUUCCCAGAAAAUAAAAAUAUCUACUGGGUUCAUGAAACUGAAACUCUUCUCUCUUCUUUUGCUCUUGAAUUUCCCAAAACCUGUAGCUUCAUACAUGUCAAUAUACUGAAUAGAAAUCAUAUAGGUGUUAGUGAUAAAUGAACAGAAAUCAUGAAAAAAAGAACCAAGUAAUUUCUACUUUUUCUAAUUUCCAUGUUCAGCUGAUUUGCCCAUUUUCAACAUUCUGGCUGAAAUCAGACAGAGAAAGCGGGCGAAAGAAGUUGCCUUCAAGAAACAAGAUUUGGGCUCGAGGCCAACAACAGGACGACCAGAUGGAUCCGACGAUUAUGGUUGCACUGAUUCAGGCUAUUAGUCUUCUGUGUUCAACUGUUAUGCAAGGAACAUUUGCCUACUGUGGCUACAAGAAGAGUAAUGGCACAGAAGCCAACAGGGAGGAUACAGGUUCAACCUCAGCUUCCAACGAAGUGACAAAAACUGAAGCAGCUGAAUCGCUCGAGCAGCUCAUCAAUCGAUUGGAAACUCGACAAGCAUCGGUCAAGAGAAGGAUCAACAGCACAUACGAAGAAGCACACGAGCUUUGGAAAGAUGCAAAUGAAGCAAAUGCCACAUACGGAAGCAAUGUUCAGACACUAAUGCUGUUCCAUGGCCUUGCCUCCAUCUUUCUCCAACUGUUCUAUCCCUAUGUGGCGGCAAAAGUCUCUGUUUUGGUGGCACUUUCAUUCUUCUCUGGAAACGCGGUUGCCUUCACAGUGACUUCAAGAAAAUCCGAGAGGAUUUCUCAGUGGGCUAAGACUCUCCAUUGGAAGGAGAUAGAAUUGCAGAAUGAAGUCACUUCUCUUCGAGCUAAGAUCGAGAUGAUCACUUUUUUUCACGAACUCAAAACCUCGAACUCUAGUGGGACUUACGGACAAGUUUAAAGGUUGAAUUCGUUGAGCAGGCACGUUGCUGACUCCCAGAAAACCAUUUCUCAGGCCCUUGAGAUGCCUUGCUCAAUCAGCGGCAAUCAGAUGAAGUCAGUUUCCCAGAUUGCAGUUGGGGCCAUUGUAUAUGGUCUAAGCUUCCCUAUAAUUGCAUACUACUUGCUCUACAGGCUCCAUUAGGCGAUGACCAUUUCGGCUUACUAGAUGAACAGCCGAACACUAUACAGACAGGUCCAGUUUUGCAUCAUUUGAAGUCCUUGCCUGUAGUAAUGUCAACUAGAUUGAACAAUAUUUCAUAGCUUGUGAAACUCGUUACUUGGUGUAUUUCAGUCAUUUGAUUUCAAGUUUCUAUAUGUAAAUGAAUGCCCUUUAAUGUCACAAUGAGUGUCUUUAAAUGUGUA
This is an RNA transcript of Diospyros lotus (date-plum), 1346 nucleotides long. RefSeq lists it as uncharacterized. NCBI's taxonomy places the organism in Eukaryota, Viridiplantae, Streptophyta, Magnoliopsida, Ericales, Ebenaceae. The record is from RefSeq and is a predicted model, not a curated record. The transcript has 6 exons.